GCGUCCUUUUUCAUUUGUCUGCUUCUCGCUCCCUUCCAGGUUCUGUUCCCUCUUCCUCCCUCUUCCCUGGACCUGUUUCUCGCUGUCCCUGUCUUUUAUCCUUCUCACCGGCCUCUUUUUUGCUCACCCUGUUUCUCACUGGCCUCCCCUCCGCCUUUCUCACCCCUCUGUCCUUUUGAGCUCUUUUUCGCUCUCUGUCUCUUCGUUUGCCUUUUGCAGUCUCAAACUCUUUCAUCUUCCCAUUCGCUGUCUGUAUUUCUCCAUAACUAUAUCUUUCUUCCUCUGUCUCUGCCCAUCCACGUUUUUUCUCUUUCCCUCUCUCUCUUUGGGGACCCUCUCCCAUGCUCCCCUGCCCCAUCCCCCUUUCCCUUUCCCAUCUUCUCAUCCCUCCAUUCCCAUCUUUCCCCAGCAAUUACCAGCUCUGGCUGGGUCGCCACAACUUGUUUGACGAUGAAAACACAGCCCAGUUUGUUCAUGUCAGUGAGAGCUUCCCACACCCUGGCUUCAACGUGAGCCUCCUGGAGAACCACACCCGCCAAGCAGACGAGGACUACAGCCACGACCUCAUGCUGCUCCGCCUGACAGAGCCUGCCGAUAUCACAGACGCUGUGAAGGUCGUGGAGUUGCCCACCCAGGAACCCGAAGUGGGGAGCACCUGUUUGGCCUCCGGCUGGGGCAGCAUCGAACCAGAGAAUUUCUCAUUUCCAGAUGAUCUCCAGUGUGUGGACCUCGAAAUCCUGCCUAAUGAUGAGUGUGAAAAAGCCCAUGUCCAGAAGGUGACAGAGUGCAUGCUGUGUGUCGGACACCUGGAAGGUGGCAAAGACACCUGUGUGGGUGAUUCAGGGGGCCCGCUGAUGUGUGAUGGUGUGCUCCAAGGUGUCACAUCAUGGGGCUACGUCCCUUGUGGCACCC
This 912-nucleotide small RNA is filed under the name Pongo abelii (Sumatran orangutan). RNAcentral's name for it is "retained intron". Lineage: Eukaryota; Metazoa; Chordata; Mammalia; Primates; Hominidae. The record is from RNAcentral.